CCUGCCUCUUUAAUACAAAUAAGAUUAAUUGCACGGUUGUUCAGAAAAUGAACCACCAGUAGUUAAACAAAAAAUGUUUGUCUUUAAGCAGCCCUUGGAUGAUUUUUUUAAAAACUGUUACAGGAAGUGAAGAGGCUGCCAAAUUACCAUGCCCGUGAGCCUCACUCUCAUUAUCAGCCUAAACGAACGCACACACCCCGACACUUUCAUCCUUUUCCAGGCCCAAGAAAAAGGAGGCAUAAAAAAAAAAAAAAAAUGAAAAACACAACCACCCUUCCACACAAAGAGGUGUCUCUGAAGUCUGGAAUGCACCCUGGCUGUUUGAAGAGGAGAUUUAUACCUGACACCCUCCUUGAAGCUCAUUGUCGAGACUCGCCUGCGUUCAAAUCAACCGCAGACUGGCUGCUGCAGAAUUCCAGAAGAAAAAGCCAUACACGCUUACAAGAAACUACUUACUUGAUGUGACGUACCGACAAGUAUUUUGGCAUGACCAGAAAUUGGAGAGUACUUACAGUACAGUACUGUGAUGACUUUAGACUGACCAUGGGCGUCAGAAGUGUUCAGUUACCACUAUGAGCACAUCUAAAACUGCACCCUCGGGACCUGACACCCUGAUUAGCCAACAAAGUUACAGCAAGAAGUAUUUUUCACCUUCAGGCUUGGCGCCUCCUUUCCAGCAUAUAAAGCAUACACAACGAAGCAAGAACAAAUGCACUGUGCCAUGAUGGAACACAGGGCAAUAUGAACUGUGUGAAUUUCCACAGUCUUAUUUUUAUUUCUAUGGUCCAGAAUAGACUUUCAACCAUUGAGCUAAAGCUUAAGAAGAUGAGUACUUGCUUAUUUGGCACCACUCGUCUAUCUGAAGUUACACGUGUGCUUGUAAGCUCUGCCAUGUAAGUCAUGAUACAUAGAAAACAGCCAUGUAAAGCCUCUGCACAUGCAUCUUUACAUCCAUCACAGAGCUCUCAACCAGAAACCAGAAGUCAAAAUGUAUUUCUUGUGUCCUGUUGGACUCAUUCUUUCUGCUGAAAUAAUCAACUUUUGAGACUGUUGCCUCAUCUAGAACAUUUUACGAUGCUAGUAGAUGGGUGAAUGCAGGCAUCCUGCUCUUUAUGCCUUCAAAGCUAUCACGUAAAGAUAACAGUGUUUUCUUUUAAUCUUUUUUUCAUUACUGAAUAUUAUGCUUACAACAAUCCUGCUUUGCUACAGAUGGUUUCCUGUUGUUUCUGCCAAAUGUGAAAUAGCUAUAAAACUUGAAAAGGUUUUGAUGCUGUCACUGCAUGAAAAAUUGCAUCUACGAGGGAAAAUUAAAUAUGAGCCCUAGCCUUUAAUUGCUUUAAUCUUACUUGGUAAGUGAACUUUUUUACCCCCACCCCCAACUCAAAGCUUCCGAUAACAUGACCUGAAGGGAAAAAUAUAGCUAUGUAUUUUAGUCAGGUAGAAAGCCUUCAUUAACAAAAACAAAAAAGAGGAAGGGGAAGUAGAUAAUUCUCAUGUCCAGACCAACCAAACAGCCACCAACACCAGCUAACAAGAGCAAUGCCUUUGGCUCUGCGUCAUAAAAUAUGUAAAGUCAUUUCUGUUAGAAGACAGCAAAGUUCCUGUUUACAGUGCUAUAAUAAGGAGAUCUAUCAUCUUAGCAGACAAAUUACUAGAAAAUGGCUUACAUACUCCCAAGAGAACAGAGCCUUUGCUCCUUGCGUGGGCAAAUCUCAGUGAACUCGGUGACAGCUUUGCUUGAAUGCAAAAGGAGUAGUAAGAAGCACUUCAAAGAAAAAUUGAAUUUUAUAUAUUUCUUAUUCUAUAGGGAAAACUGUUAAUGCUCUUUAUAGGCAUAGAUUCAGUGUUGUAUGGGAAAAGGACUAGAGCAAAAUCUUUUAUCAGCAAAGGCGUAGGACAGGCACAUUGCUUGCACAAGUGGAACAUCACCAACAAAUGGGUGAGCUACAUGGCUGCUCUCAAAUAUCUGCCAAUAUUUGACUGGCACCCCAUCAACACUCUCAUAUUCGAGAAAAAAAAAAAAAAAAAAAAGCCAAAACCUGCAAGCAUUUAACCACAUCCUUCUACCAACAAGGCAAGGCUGUCUUCAUUGCCAUGGAUCUGUCUGUACAAGCACUGAGGGCAGAGGCAAAAAGAGUAAAUAAAAGAAACCGCUGUCAUUUUGAGUGCAUUUGUCUGUCUGUUGCUGUGCCUGAUAUCUUAGGGCUCUGCAGCACAAGAAACAAGUGCUCUGUAUUGGAGACUUGGCAGGCACCCAUUUCUGCAGGAAGAAAGCAUGCAACUGUAGUCUCACCUGACCAAGACAUCGGGCUUGAGCUUCACAGCUGCUCAGCCCUCUCCUGUUCCUUCCUGGGGAGGGAUCUGGUACCUGUUCACCACAAGAAUAGUUUCGCUCACGGUGGAAAGGGAAGCUGGGGGAACCGUCGUUUCUUUUAACCUGUGUUGACUUUCCCUGCUCUGCAGGCUGGAAUUGAAAAGCUGAGACAGAGGUGACACUGUGUGCAGGAGAGAGUGGAAAGUGUGUGCUGUCCUCAAGCUGCAGCAAACUGUCUCACCUCCACAUGGACAUGCCUCACCCACGUGCUUUAUCCCCAAGGGCACCUCUUCAAAGUGCCCCGGGCAUUUCCCCACACCGAGGUACUGGCACCAGAGUUAUCUGCCUGGCUGUUUAGUUUGACUUCCACUUACGCUCAAUUAAAAGCAACUUUAUACAAGCUCCAAGCAACCUGCACCCCACAGCUAUGGACAAACCCCUGUAGCUCAGCCCCACUGUGAUCACCGAGAGGACUGGUGAGCUGGGGGCUGCCAGGGUUCAGGAGCUGCCUGGACCUGCGUGGCCAACGUGCUGGACCUUCCCUGAGGGAUGGAGCCGUCUCUGAUGGCUGUUUCCUUGGGCCAAGAAAACAUUCGUGGGCAAGAGCCUGCUCUUUUUCUUUCGUAGUGUAGCCUGUGUACAUCUGGGCCUUUGAUGAUGGUUGGAUACGGGCACGUAGGUCCUAGUUGAAGGGCUACUGAUGUUGUUGGAGAGUCUCCUGUUGGCUUCACUGGAAAGAGGAUCAAGCCCCUGCGUGUUUGCUUAUUUCUUUAUUUAUCACCAAUUUUGCCAUUUGGUCACCAGCUGAAUUAUUUUCACCUUUCACAUUCAAUUAAAUACCACAAAAUGCUAGUGCAGGACUUUUCUCAAAACCAGCUAGAAACCAUGAUAGAAAACACAACCCUGCCACAUCAGAGACGUUCUUCAUAUACCGUACGGUAUUUGCAUCUAGGUUUCCUUGUUGCUAGCCAAUGCCAUCUGUUAUCUGUUUUGGUCUGCUUAUGAGAACUGGUAAUUUCUGAAAAUUGAGAGCAAGGCAAGAACAAUGGCUUUUUCCUUUGUAUUUUAUGUCCCAAAGAAAUGAACUGGAUCUACACAUGCACACAAAAAUAUACCCCUCCAAUUGGCAAUAUGCUAGCAUAUGCUUUUUCUGUAUGGAAAAUUUAAAGAGACAAGGCCCAUCAAGGGGAAAUAUUUGAGCGUAAUGAAAUAAAUGUGCGCCCCACAAUGCUUGGAUACUCAGUUCUGCUUUUGUCUCUCUUGGAGGGUGCUGACGCUCAGACUGGCUGAUGGAUUAAGCAGUGACAGCUGAGAUGGUUGCUGCCCUCAGCUGCGCGCUCUGCCCCCUCGCUUGGAAAUUACUGCCCUCCUGCCGCCGGCACAACUGAACGCUUCGUGAGCCCGAUUUCAGACUGCCAGACUUCACGUGAACCUCGGCUCACGCCAGUUCGCCAGCCCGUAAACUCCUGCGAAGCGCCGAGCCAUGCCGGCCACGCAAGUGAAAGACCAAGAAAAGGAAAAAGGGGUGCCUGGGCCAGCCAGCGGGCAGCAGCCCACGGCGCAUUCCCUCCUAUUUUUGGAAACACAAAUGUGCCGAGCUCAGGGGACCCAUUGUCACAUGCCACCCCCUAAGCAAAGAAAUGGCAAAAUGUCAAGUGACAAAGACGAGAACGCGUCCCCAGCCUUUUCUCGGGGUUUUUGGUUUUUCGGUUGGUUGGUUUUUUCGCUCUUUUGCAACUGCAUUUCAGGGACAGUAUUAAAAUGCGCUCAGCACUGACUAAACUCUCUUCCUCUGAGGUCUAUUGCAUAUUUUUGUUAACUCUAAGAAGAGAAACUUUACUUUAGCAUGAUAAUUUCAAAAUCCUGUUGGUUAUAGAUGGUAGGUUUCAGUCCCGGGUUUGAGGAUGCUGCCUGUUUCACAAUUCCUAACUGUAGCAGCCUAUAAACCAGCAUCAGAUAGUUUAACACAGUCUGACGUUUUUAGCCUUUCAUCUAGUCUGUUCCUCAUGUUUUUGCAGUCCCAGUUUUUGUCUUCCAAGAUGUGUGAUCUGGAUGCACAAGGUCUUUUUGUCUCUUUCUUUUCAGUGAUGGAAGCCAACUCCGUGAAACCUCAAUUUACCGGCUAUUAAUAUGCAGGCAUCCUUCCCUUACAGGUCCUUCUGUCAAGCAGUGGAGUGUGUAUACAGUUGUGAAAGAAAGAAGGAAUAUCUCGCAGAUAUGCAUUCUUGUCUGGAUAAUUCUAAAUAUUGAAUCCUGAACUAUUAAAACUGCUCUUGCUUAAGAUUAAAAGAAAAAUCCUGGUAGUCAAUCUGCAGAUAAUUGUAUGCUGCCUAACUGGCACUUCAGUAGUUUUUCUUUGUGAUAUAUCUGAAGGAGGAGAUGGAUGCACUGUCAGAAUUAAAAGCUCUUUCAGUACUUGGC
Anas platyrhynchos (mallard) is the source of this 4735-nucleotide non-coding RNA. The record is from RefSeq and is a predicted model, not a curated record. Lineage: Eukaryota; Metazoa; Chordata; Aves; Anseriformes; Anatidae.